RNAcentral lists this ribosomal RNA (447 nucleotides) under uncultured bacterium. RNAcentral describes it as "partial 16S ribosomal RNA". It matches the Rfam family "Bacterial small subunit ribosomal RNA", at positions 329 to 793 of the family's 1533-position model. The record is from RNAcentral.
CGCCAGACUCCUACGGGAGGCAGCAGUGGGGAAUAUUGCACAAUGGGGGAAACCCUGAUGCAGCGACGCCGCGUGAGCGAUGAAGUAUUUCGGUAUGUAAAGCUCUAUCAGCAGGGAAGAAAAUGACGGUACCUGACUAAGAAGCCCCGGCUAACUACGUGCCAGCAGCCGCGGUAAUACGUAGGGGGCAAGCGUUAUCCGGAUUUACUGGGUGUAAAGGGGGCGCAGACGGCGAUGCAAGCCAGGAGUGAAAGCCCGGGGCCCAACCCCGGGACUGCUCUUGGAACUGCGUGGCUGGAGUGCAGGAGGGGCAGGCGGAAUUCCUGGUGUAGCGGUGAAAUGCGUAGAUAUCAGGAGGAACACCGGUGGCGAAGGCGGCCUGCUGGACUGCAACUGACGUUGAGGCCCGAAAGCGUGGGGAGCAAACAGGAUUAGAUACCCUCGUAA